RNAcentral lists this ribosomal RNA (408 nucleotides) under bacterium. RNAcentral describes it as "partial 16S ribosomal RNA". It matches the Rfam family "Bacterial small subunit ribosomal RNA", at positions 355 to 776 of the family's 1533-position model. The record is from RNAcentral.
UGGGGAAUAUUGCACAAUGGGCGAAAGCCUGAUGCAGCGACGCCGCGUGAGGGAUGACGGCCUUCGGGUUGUAAACCUCUUUCAGUAGGGACGAAGCGCAAGUGACGGUACCUGCAGAAGAAGCACCGGCUAACUACGUGCAGCAGCCGCGGUAAUACGUAGGGUGCGAGCGUUGUCCGGAAUUACUGGGCGUAAAGAGCUCGUAGGCGGUUUGUCACGUCGUCUGUGAAAUCCUAGGGCUUAACCCUGGACGUGCAGGCGAUACGGGCUGACUUGAGUACUACAGGGGAGACUGGAAUUUCUGGUGUAGCGGUGGAAUGCACAGAUAUCAGGAAGAACACCGAUGGCGAAGGCAGGUCUCUGGGUAGUAACUGACGCUGAGGAGCGAAAGCAUGGGUAGCGAACAGG